AUUCUGUGGUGGGGGCAAGCCAAGAGGUACUCUUGGAAGUGCUCCCACACUUCAGAGAUUGACUCGUCUGACACCUAUUGGAAGUUGGUUAUCCUAUCACAAAGAGC
Molecule: small nucleolar RNA, 107 nt
Filed under: Dichanthelium oligosanthes
Lineage: Eukaryota; Viridiplantae; Streptophyta; Magnoliopsida; Poales; Poaceae
Description: Plant small nucleolar RNA R71
Rfam family: Plant small nucleolar RNA R71
About the family: R71 is a member of the C/D box family of snoRNAs containing the C (UGAUGA) and D (CUGA) box motifs. Multiple nearly identical copies of this snoRNA have been identified in Arabidopsis, and it is thought to function as a 2'-O-ribose methylation guide for 18S ribosomal RNA.
Source: Rfam by way of RNAcentral